UACGGAAGGUCCGGGCGUUAUCCGGAUUUAUUGGGUUUAAAGGGAGCGUAGGCCGUGGAUUAAGCGUGUUGUGAAAUGCAGGUGCUCAACGUCUGCACUGCAGCGCGAACUGGUUCACUUGAGUGUGCACAACGCAGGCGGAAUUCGUCGUGUAGCGGUGAAAUGCUUAGAUAUGACGAAGAACUCCGAUUGCGAAGGCAGCUUGCGGGAGCACAACUGACGCUGAAGCUCGAAAGUGCGGGUAUCGAACAGG
This 253-nucleotide ribosomal RNA is filed under the name uncultured bacterium. RNAcentral describes it as "partial 16S ribosomal RNA". It matches the Rfam family "Bacterial small subunit ribosomal RNA", at positions 524 to 776 of the family's 1533-position model. The record is from RNAcentral.